UGGGGAAUAUUGGACAAUGGACGCAAGUCUGAUCCAGCGACGCCGCGUGGGUGAUGAAGGCCUUCGGGUUGUAAAGCCCUGUGGGCAGGGAAGAAAACGGCGAGGUUAAAUAAGCCUGGUCCUUGACGGUACCUGCUCAGAAAGCACCGGCUAACUCUGUGCCAGCAGCCGCGGUAAGACAGAGGGUGCAAACGUUGCUCGGAAUUACUGGGCGUAAAGCGCGUGUAGGUGGAUUGGUAUGUCAGAUGUGAAAUCCCUGGGCUCAACCCAGGAACUGCACCUGAAACUACCAGUCUUGAGUGGUGGAGAGGGAAGUGGAAUUCCUGGUGUAGAGGUGAAAUUCGUAGAUAUCAGGAGGAACACCAGUGGCGAAGGCGGCUUCCUGGACACUAACUGACGCUGAGACGCGAAAGCGUGGGGAGCAAACAGGAUUAGAUACCCGCGUAGUCC
RNAcentral lists this ribosomal RNA (450 nucleotides) under uncultured bacterium. RNAcentral describes it as "bacterial SSU rRNA". It matches the Rfam family "Bacterial small subunit ribosomal RNA", at positions 355 to 796 of the family's 1533-position model. The record is from RNAcentral.